GUUUGGGGUAAAAAGCGGAGGUUUUGGGGUGCAGGGGGAGGGGGUUUGGGGUAUGAAGAGUUUGGGGUGUUGGGAGGUUGAGGCUAAGAGGGUUAUGGGGUGCAAAGGGGACGUUGGGGAGCAAGGAGGGGAUUUUGGGGUACUGGGGGAGGUUUUGGGGUACAAAGAGGGGAUUUUGUGUGUGAAGAAAGAGGUUUAGGGGUAAAAAGGGGAAGUUUUAGGGUGCAGAGAGGAAUUUUGGGAUUUUGGGGGUGCACAGUUUGGGGUAAAAAGAGGUUUUGCCGUGCAGGGAGGAGGGGUUUUGGGGUGCAGGGGGAGGUUUUUGGGUGCAGGUGGGCCCUGGGGUGCUCCUCUGGUUUGCAAACUCCUCUCCCUCACCCACAGAAGCCUCAGCCCCCUCCCCAGGCCCCCCAACCCCCCCGGCCCCCCCAAAAAAGGGGCUCUUCACCGACGACCUGCACCGGCUGGUGGAUGAGUGGGUCCAGGACACGGCCAGGGCCCAGGCCACCUCCUCCUGGGUCUCCACCCUGCGUGGCACUCGUGGGACCCCCCGAAAAUGGGGGGAGCUGCCCCCCCCAAAACCUGCCCUGCGUGGGGGGGGCAGCCCCCUCCCCCCAGGGGCCGAGUGAGGGGGGGUCCCCAGACCCUGACCCCUCCAACCCCCCUGAUUUUGGGUCAAAACCCCAAUUUUCAGCCCCCAAAUUCCUUUGUUUCACCCCAAAACCCCCUUGUUUUACUCCCACAUUGGGUGACCCCAAAUUUCCAGCCCUAAAAUGACCUCGUUUCACCUCAAAAUUCCCCUAAUUUGGGUCCUGUGCUGUGACCCCUAUUUCUGGCCCCAAAAUUGCCUUAUUUUGCCCUAAAAUUCCCCCUUUUUUGCUGCCCCCUUGGGCUGAAUUUUUGGCCUCAAUUCACCCCCAAAAUCCCCUUUUUAGGAUACUCAAGCCCCCCCCCCCCUCAAUUUCUGGCCCCGAAACCACCUCAUUUUGACCCCAAAUUCCCCCUUUUUGGAUCCAAAAUCUCUCUAUUGUAUCCCAACCCCCCUUUUUUUGUGUUACUCCCUGUUUGCAAGGUGACUGCACUUUCUGGUGCCCAAAAUCCCCUCAUUUCACUCCAAAACUCCCCUUUUUUGUGCCCUGCCAACCCCAAUUUUCUGCCCUAAAUCCCUCAUUCUACCCCAAAAUUCCCUUUUUGGGCCUUUCCCCCUCUGCAUGAGGUGACCCCAUUUUUUAGCCCCCAAAUCACCUCAUUUCACCCCAAAAAUCUCAUUUUUUGUGGCCUUUCCACGUCUCUUUUCCACCUCCCUGAACGUGAUGCCACUUGUUGGCCCCAAAAUUGCCUUGUUUCAUCCCAAAACCCCUUUUUUUGGGCCUAUCUCCCCUUUUUUUACCCCUCCUACAACAUUACCCCACUUUUUGCUCCCCAAAUCGCAUAAUUUCAUCCCAAAAAUUCUCUUUUAGGGCCUGCCCUUCCCCCACAGGAUAUCAUCCCAGUUUUCAGCCCCAAAAUCUCCUCAUUUCAGACAAAAAUCCCUUUUUUUGGGCCUUGCCACUCUUUUGUCCCCACACAAAGCAACCCAAUUUUUAGCCCUUAAACGGCUUCAGUUUGCCCUAAAACACAAACAGUUGAACCCCGAUGUUUCAUUUAUCUAAAAAUUCCUCUUUUUUCCCCCUGAAAACACUUCAGAGUCCCCAGAAUUCCCAUUUUUCACCCAAAGCCCCUCACAGGCUUGGAAUUUUUCCUAAUGUGACCACAGUAGAGGCAGGUGGGCUGUACUGGGUUUACUGGUGACCCACCCCCCCAUACUGGUCAUACUGGUGCAACAACCCCCUCUCAUUCCUGUACCCUCAACCCAUUUUUGGGUCAUUUUGUCGUGUUUUCCUCUCAUCUACCUCACCCCUUCACCAAGCCAGCAAGGUUUCGGGGUGAAUUCUCGAGUGUUCUGGUUCGAGAGGGUGGGGAAGGCGUUUGUUUUGCGGGGAAAUUGUUAAAAAGCGCGAAAAAAAAAAAAAAAAUCCUAAAAUGUAAGAAAUAAAAGCGUGGCUGGUGCGCGCCACUCCCAAAAUGGCGGCCGGACCGCGACAGUCGAGCGGCGAAGGCGGCGCCACGCCCAAGAUGGCGGCCCCGCCCCCCGCACACCCAAUGGGGGCGCCCUCGCCCUUCCCAAGAUGGCGGCGCGACGCGGCCAAAAUGGCGGCCGAGCCCCGCCCUCUCCCUCCCCGUUUCCGCGUUUGAAUAAAACUUUCCCGGGCGGCCCGGAGCGCGCAGAGGCCGCGGCGGCGGCGGCAGCACCGGGCCCGGGGCCGGCAGCGGCGGUAGCGACCGGGCGGCGGCGGAGGAGCGGCCGCGAGAAGCGCUGGGCCUUGCCGGGGCGGGCUGCGGCCUAGUCGGGAGGUGGCGGUGGGGGGGGGCGCAGGCCUCGCGGCGGCCCGCAGGCCUCGAGGGGGUCCCGCCGGCCUUGUGGGGGUGUCGGCGGCUUUUUGGGGAUCCCCAAAGCUUUUAGGGGGUCCUUCGGGUCUUUGGGGGGUCUCGGGGGCUCCACAACGCGGGGGGAGGGGGAGGCCGGGGCCCCGCGGACGCUGUGAGGGGACCCCGGGCCUUGCGGCGCUUUUGGGGGUCCCCACACGCUAUAGGGGUGGAGGGCGUCCUGUGGGCGCAUUUUUGGGGGGCUCUGGGCCUCGGGGAGGGGGUCACAGUGCCUCGGUGACCCUUGGAGGGGUCGCCCUACAUCUCUGUGUAUUUUUGGGGAGGUCUUAGGCUCUCAUCAAUACCUGAGGGGAUCCCAAGUCUCCGCAGGCUCUUUUAGGGUGCCCCCGGCCCAUAUCGGUUUUUUUAGGGGGUUGUGCUCCCCAAUUCCCCUCAGGGCCGCGGUCUGGGGGGGCUUUGGGGGUGUUUACAGGGGAGCAGCCUAGGGCUUGAUUUUGGGGUUUUUUUUUUUUGAUUUUUUUUUUUCUUUUUUGCGGGAGUUUUUUGGGGGGUGUUUUAGGGGAGUUUUCGGAGGCUGUUCUUGUGUUUUUGCUGAGGUUGUUCUAGGGGGGGAUUCUGAGGCUGUUUCUGGGGUUUUUUUGGGCAGUUUUGGAGAUCUUUUUGAGGCUGCCUUUGGAGUGAUUUUGAGGGUGUUUUUUGGGUUUUUUUUUUGAGGGGAUUUUCGGGGGUCUGGCGGGCAGUGCGCGGAUGUCCCGGGCCGGGGGGGGUCGCGGGGGUCCGUAGGGUCGGGG
Taeniopygia guttata (zebra finch) is the source of this 3218-nucleotide long non-coding RNA. Lineage: Eukaryota; Metazoa; Chordata; Aves; Passeriformes; Estrildidae. The record is from Ensembl.